AUUGCUUCUUUGGUCUAUUAAACUCUCUCAUUCUCUUUCCUAAAUUUACAACUCUCUCUCUCUCUCUCUUCACUUUUCUCCCAAUUUUUUUAAUCCUCAAAUUAGUCUUCUUCAACCCUAAUCCAUACCGUAUCUCUUAAAUUUUAAAAUAUUAACAGAUUCAUAGGCUAAUGAAAAUCCAUAUCUCUUCAACCCUUAUUCAUAUCUCUUUUUGACAUAUAUUCCCCCCUUUUAUUUUGUCAGGUUGAAGAGAUCUAAAUGUUUAAGGUGUGGACUUUUGUUCUUGAGGUUUAAUAUUUCUUAAACAAAAGGCAAUAACAAAUCUAAGGAAUGUUUAUAUACUGUAAAUUUUUGUUAUCUCUUUUAUUUUCUGGGUUAAAUAUCCUCUUUGAUUUUUAUUUUUUAUGUUUUUGAUUUGAUUUUCUCGGUUUUUUUGAUGAAGUUGUUGUGUGUUCUUGAUGUUUUGGAGUUUUGAAUGAAAAAGUACUUAGCAAUAAAGGCGAGGAUGAAUUUUUGGAAAAAGAUGAGAAUUUUUUUCUGAGUUAUUGGGAUGAAGUUGUUGUGUGUUUGUAAAAUUAUGGAUUUUGGGAUGAUUUUCUAGAAGAAAAAAAAAGAAUGAUUUAUGGGUAUCAUUAUGAAUUUGUUGCA
Molecule: long non-coding RNA, 648 nt
Organism: Lathyrus oleraceus (garden pea)
Lineage: Eukaryota; Viridiplantae; Streptophyta; Magnoliopsida; Fabales; Fabaceae
Exons: 3
Source: RefSeq, a predicted model, not a curated record